RNAcentral lists this ribosomal RNA (339 nucleotides) under Triticum aestivum (bread wheat). RNAcentral's name for it is "partial small subunit ribosomal RNA". The record is from RNAcentral. Lineage: Eukaryota; Viridiplantae; Streptophyta; Magnoliopsida; Poales; Poaceae.
AUGGGCAGAAAGGUGUGCAUCUCUCUAGCAAUCCUCGCGCUUGUACUGCUCGGUGGCCCGGGCGCGAAGGCAACAGCCUUUGCCGGCGGCGCCGCCAGCAUGGACGCGGCGGUGGCGGUGCGGCAGGUGAUGCCAACGUCGUCUAUCAAGCUGGAGGACGGUGUGGCGCCUGAGCUUGCAGUGGACAUGGAUGUGCACCGCCGCGUUCUCGUCGACAUCGGCAAGAGCGUCGACGACAGGGACAAGCAACGCUGCCUUAAAACUCCGUGCAUCGCCGGAGGGCCAUACAGCGGCGGCCUCCGGGGAUGCAACCCACGUUACGGGUGCGCCCCUAAGUAA